Sus scrofa (pig) is the source of this 2016-nucleotide non-coding RNA. NCBI's taxonomy places the organism in Eukaryota, Metazoa, Chordata, Mammalia, Artiodactyla, Suidae. The record is from RefSeq and is a predicted model, not a curated record.
GGGUGAAGGAGCUGAGGGUGUGAGCAGGGCUGCAGCGGGCAGGUCCAAGGUUGAAGAUGGUGGAUACACUGUCUCAGAAAAUGUGAGGUUGUGUCUCAGGAAUGGAGCGAUGAGUGUCUAUUGAGUUAAGGGCAGAAGGUAUUUGUGAGCCCUGUGGACUUUCUCUCAUAAGAGCAAUCAUCCCAUCUAUGAGGGCUCCAUCUUCAUGACCUCCUGAUCUUUCACAGGCCCCGUAUACUAACGCCAUCACUUCUGUGGAUUAGGAUUUCAACAUAUGGAUUCUGAGGAGACACAAACAUUUACGUCAUAGCAGUGGGAAUCCAGUUUUAUUCUUUAUCUGUGGCUAAUUGUUCCAGCACCACUUGUAGAAAAGACUCUUCUUUCCCCUAUCGACUUAUCUUGGCACACUUGUCAAAAGUGAAUUCAUCAGGAAGUUCCUGUGGUGGCUCAUUGGGGUUUUGAACCUGACUAGUAUCCGUAAGGAUGUGGGUUCAAUUCCUGGCUUCACUCUGUGGAUUAAGGAUUCAUCAUCGGUGGUAGCUGUGGUGUGUUGUAGGUUGCAGAUGCAGCUCAGAUGCUUACCUUAAUCCCCCAGGCUCCCUGUUUCCCUCAGCUUUCUCUUCUGCUCUCCUCUCCCCAGCACACAGGCAGGCCCCACGCAGGCAACCCACAGGCACACACAGCAUGCAAGCCCGGCCACGCCCCCCACGGCCUUCCCAGCACUACCGCUUCCCCCUCCCCCCAUUCUCUACCUUGAAUGUAACUUCAACGUGUCAACUAGAGCUAGAGUGUCCAUCCUUACCUUAAUCCUCAAGGCUCCGAGUUUCCCUCAGCUUUCUCCUCUGCUCUCCUUUCCCUGGCACACUCGCGGGCGCCAAGCAUGAAACACCCACGCAGGCACAGCAGGCAAGCCGGGCCCCGCCCCCCACGGCCCUCCCAGCACUACCACUUCCCUCUCCCUUUUUAAGACCUUGCUUCAACUCUGCAAAGGGAUCCCCUCCACCCUCUUCCAAUUCUCUACUCUGAAGCUAACUGCAACCUGGCAGCUGCAGCUCGCCCAUAUCAUCACCUUAAUCUUCCAGGCUCCCUUUUUCCCUCAGCUUUCUCUUCUUCUCUCCUCUCCCCAGCACACAGGCAGGCCCCACGCAGGCAACUCCCACACCCGCACUGCACGCAUCCCGGUCCCUGACCGCCAAGGCCCUCCCCGCACUCCCGCCUCACCCCCUCCCUUUCUGACAUCUUUCCUCAGCUCCUCAAGGGAUCCCCUCCACCCUCUUCCCCUCCUCUACACUCUAACUUCAACCUGGCAGCUGGAGCUAGAGUGCACAUCCUUACCUUAAUCCCAGAGUCUCCAGGUGUCCCUCAGUUUAGUCUUCUGCUCUCCUGUCCCAGCACACACGCAGGCCCCACGCACGCAUCCCCUACGCUAGCACUGCGCUCAAUCUGGUCUUCGCCCCCCUCGGCGCUCCCAAGGUUAUAGAUAUUCUGCAUACUCUAAAUACUCUACUUAGUAGAUUUUAUUGUUUUCAUUUUAUAUCGAAAUUUUACAGUACUUAAAUUACAUUAGUAGAGCUUAGUCAAGUGGAUGCAGGAUAAAACCAUUUAAUGUUUAAUAAUUUAAUUCCUCUUGUUUAGAAUAUUUUCACUCUUUUUACAGUACUGACUAAAACAUUUUAAGAAAUGGUAUCACUCUGAAGAUUGAUUUAUUAGAGUAAUUAAAAUUUAGGAAAGGAUGUAAAUUGUCAAACUGAUAUUUCAGAACUUGACUGAAAAUUUGCUGAAGAAGGAACUGGACUGUCCCCAGAGUUGAAACAUAAUGAAGAAUGUGUGAGUAAGAAGAAUAUACAAGCAAGCCUUCAUCCAAAAAACCUAGAUUGUCAAGAGCUUUAGUCAAGGUUAUCUGCAUCUGAAACUUCACUCCAGAGAAUAUAGGCAGAGUUGGGUGAAAAGGGAAAAGCUACUCAAAUGCUCAAAGAAGAAUUAUCAGAAGUGGAGACCAUGUACCAGCAUCUUAAG